UCAACAGUGUUGAAAGGAAUUAGUAACAGUAACACCUAUCUAAAGAGAGUCGAUGGUUGGUGGAAAUCGAUGUUAGAGUGCUGUGAAUCCAUCCUUGAACUGGUUUACGGAAAGGAAUUCCCUCCAAGUAAGUAAACCCGGUAAGUGCCGUUACAACGUGAAAGCCGGAAGAGAUUAUCUCUUCAAUAAGGGUGGCAACGCGGGAAUUAUACUCUCGUCCCUAUC
RNAcentral lists this non-coding RNA (225 nucleotides) under Bacilli bacterium. RNAcentral's name for it is "T-box sequence". It matches the Rfam family "T-box leader". From Rfam's summary of the family: Uncharged tRNA acts as the effector for transcription antitermination of genes in the T-box leader family. Lineage: Bacteria; Bacillati; Bacillota; Bacilli. The record is from RNAcentral.